This 1591-nucleotide long non-coding RNA is filed under the name Ananas comosus (pineapple). Its description in RNAcentral is "long non-coding RNA (ACOM_LNC020209)". The record is from RNAcentral. Lineage: Eukaryota; Viridiplantae; Streptophyta; Magnoliopsida; Poales; Bromeliaceae.
AAUUUUGAAAAAGUGAUUUCUGCAUAAUUGAGUUUGGUUUGAAAAUUAAUUUUAGUUAAAAUUUGUAGGGCGUUUAGGUGAGUUUAGAUGAAAAAUAUUUUUUUUUAAAAUUUUGUAAAACUAUUUUGCAAAACAAUUUGUAUGUUUGCAUAUAAUAACUUUUUUACUCAAUUUUAUUUAAAAAUAAUUUAAAACUUAAAUGAAAAUUAAAAUUUUGAAUUUGAAUAUAAAUUUAAAUUUAAAAUUUUUAAUUUUGAAUUUGUAUAAAAAUCUAAAAUUUGAUAUUUUAAUUUAAAAUAUAAGUUUUAAAAUUUAACUUAAAUUUGAAAAUUAUAAAAUUUGAAGAUUUAAAAUUUAAAAUUUAUAACUUGAAAUUAAAUUUGAAAAUUUAAAAUUUGAAAUGAAAAUUGAAUAAUUUAAAAUUUGAGAUUUAAAAUUUGAAAACUAAAAAUUACAAUUUUAAAAUAAAAAAUUUAAAUUUUGAGAAAAUUUAAAUUUUGAGAAAUUUUAUCGGUAUGAGAUUAUAUUAUACCGAUAUCUUAUUGGUACGAUAUGACACGAUCAUACCGAUGUACUUUUAAAUCCUUAAUUCUUACCUACUAAAGCUAAAAAUAGUGAAAGCCCUGAUAAUAGAGGAAUUCUAAACUAUCACAUUUGCACCACGUCAUCAAUAACAAGUCAAUUAUAUUUCUUCUUUUCAAAUAAAAGUACAAUGAAAAUGCUUUUUUAUGAUCAUGAUGGGACAUAUCUCUAAAAGGAGAUUUUUGAUUGAUUUGUUCUCCACGUCACCAAUAUACUUAUUAGCUGCCAUCAUAAGAUGCCAAAGCUAGGAAAGGUAGGAAAAAUUUUAGAAUGCAACGGGUAUAUUUGUAACGUGGCGUAACAAACCAAUCAAAUGUCUCCUUUUAAGGGUAUAUGUCUCAUCAUGAUUGUAAACAAAUAUUUUUAUUAUACUUUUGUUUGAGAAGAAGGAAUAUGAUUAACUUGUUAUUGAUGACGUGGUGUAAGUGUGAUAGUAGAAUUCCUCGAAAGGUAGAGACGCAAUUGAAUAUCUGACAAGAUUGUACAUGAUACUUUAAUAUAUAUAUAUAUAUAUAUAUAUAUAUAUAUAUAUAUAUAGAGCUAGUCUAGUAUACUAUACCAAGUUAUUUUCAAUGAUGCCGCUUCCAAAUCGACGAUCGGCUCCGUUAGACUUGAUCUGUACUAUUAAAAGUAUUUAGAAACUAAAUUUAAUAACUUUUGGUAUUAUUUACCUAUUAAACGAAUAGUCUAAAAAUGAACGGUUGAAAAUAAAAAUCUCAUAAAAAGUGAUGAUAGAAGACUUGAAUUUAAGAUCAGAGGUACUGAUCUUACUUUAAAUAGUAAAAAGAAUUUUGUAUAAAAAUUUUAUCUGAUUUGAAUUGUUUUAUACCGUUAAAUUUACAAAUGCAUUACAUCUACCAUUAAAAUUGUCAAUUUUGAGACCUUUUGAUUACUAGCCAAAUGAUGUCGAAAAAUUUAUAUUUUAAAACUCUUAAUUUUUAAAUUUUUUUAAUUAUAUUAUAUAUUUUAGAAAAAAAAAUUUAUCGCCUUUAAAAUUAUUAAAUAUAUA